UACGGAGGAUCCAAGCGUUAUCCGGAUUUAUUGGGUUUAAAGGGUGCGUAGGCGGUUUUAUAAGUUAGAGGUGAAAUGUUCGGGCUUAACCCGGAAACUGCCUCUGAUACUGUAGGACUAGAGAGUAGUUGCGGUAGGCGGAAUGUAUGGUGUAGCGGUGAAAUGCUUAGAUAUCAUACAGAACACCGAUUGCGAAGGCAGCUUACCAAACUAUAUCUGACGUUGAGGCACGAAAGCGUGGGGAGCAAACAGG
RNAcentral lists this ribosomal RNA (253 nucleotides) under uncultured bacterium. RNAcentral's name for it is "partial 16S ribosomal RNA". It matches the Rfam family "Bacterial small subunit ribosomal RNA", at positions 524 to 776 of the family's 1533-position model. The record is from RNAcentral.